GAUGAACGCUGGCGGCGUGCCUAAUACAUGCAAGUCGAGCGAACAGACGAGGAGCUUGCUCCUCUGACGUUAGCGGCGGACGGGUGAGUAACACGUGGAUAACCUACCUAUAAGACUGGGAUAACUUCGGGAAACCGGAGCUAAUACCGGAUAAUAUGUUGAACCGCAUGGUUCAACAGUGAAAGACGGUCUUGCUGUCACUUAUAGAUGGAUCCGCGCCGCAUUAGCUAGUUGGUAAGGUAACGGCUUACCAAGGCAACGAUGCGUAGCCGACCUGAGAGGGUGAUCGGCCACACUGGAACUGAGACACGGUCCAGACUCCUACGGGAGGCAGCAGUAGGGAAUCUUCCGCAAUGGGCGAAAGCCUGACGGAGCAACGCCGCGUGAGUGAAGAAGGUCUUCGGAUCGUAAAACUCUGUUAUUAGGGAAGAACAAAUGUGUAAGUAACUAUGCACGUCCUGACGGUACCUAAUCAGAAAGCCACGGCUAACUACGUG
This 497-nucleotide ribosomal RNA is filed under the name uncultured bacterium. RNAcentral describes it as "partial 16S ribosomal RNA". It matches the Rfam family "Bacterial small subunit ribosomal RNA", at positions 28 to 507 of the family's 1533-position model. The record is from RNAcentral.